This 447-nucleotide ribosomal RNA is filed under the name uncultured bacterium. RNAcentral describes it as "partial 16S ribosomal RNA". It matches the Rfam family "Bacterial small subunit ribosomal RNA", at positions 29 to 507 of the family's 1533-position model. The record is from RNAcentral.
AACGAACGCUGGCGGCAUGCCUAACACAUGCAAGUCGAACGAUGCCUUCGGGCAUAGUGGCGCACGGGUGCGUAACGCGUGGGAAUCUGCCCUUGGCUUCGGAAUAACAGUUAGAAAUGACUGCUAAUACCGGAUGAUGUCCCCCUGAGAGAUCUUGGGGACCAAAGAUUUAUCGGCCAGGGAUGAGCCCGCGUAGGAUUAGGUAGUUGGUGGGGUAAAGGCCUACCAAGCCGACGAUCCUUAGCUGGUCUGAGAGGAUGAUCAGCCACACUGGGACUGAGACACGGCCCAGACUCCUACGGGAGGCAGCAGUGGGGAAUAUUGGACAAUGGGGGGAACCCUGAUCCAUCAAUGCCGCGUGAGUGAUGAAGGCCUUAGGGUUGUAAAGCUCUUUUACCAGGGAUGAUAAUGACAGUACCUGGAGAAUAAGCUCCGGCUAACUCCGUG